GCUGCGCCGAGCCCUGGUGCCGGAGGGGCGCCUGAUCUUCGACAGCGGCGACCCGGCGUUCGAGCCGUGGGCGCUGUG
This 78-nucleotide transfer RNA is filed under the name Actinoplanes cyaneus. Its description in RNAcentral is "tRNA-Arg". Lineage: Bacteria; Bacillati; Actinomycetota; Actinomycetes; Micromonosporales; Micromonosporaceae. The record is from RNAcentral.